UUCAUUCUCCUUGUUAUUCCGGACCUAGCGCCUGUGAAAGUGCUUGGAAUUUCUUGUUUUCUAAUACUCUCUACAUAAACUAUCUCUAUUUGCUCCUUAUGUCUACCUUGUGAAGCUGCUUUCUCUUUUCUUGCUAUGAAGCCCUUCUUUCUAUACAGCGGGGACCUGAUUUUGCCCUUCACCUAGGAUGGAUAUCAUCUGGCCCCGUGGACUUACACACGUUCAGUUUCAUGAGGAGGACUCGGACUUGUUCCACCGUUACAGUGGGACAGAAACCACUCCCACACCCUAACCUAGAGGCUCGUGGUCCUGGCAGACACGGGAAGCCUGACCACCCGUGAAGACUGAGGCAAAGCACUCAUUGAGUACCUCAGCUUUUUCUGUGUCUGAGGAAGCCAGCUCCCCAUUGCCUUUCGUCAGAGCGGGAAUACUCUCCUGGGCCUGUCUCCUCCUGCCUAUGUGCCUGUAGAACCCCUUCUUGUUAUCUUUCACAUCCCUUGCCAAGUUCAGCUCCACCAGCGCCUUGGCUUUCCUAAUCCUAUCUCUACACACACGGACAAUAGCCCUCUAUUCCUCCCAGGACACACUACCCUGCUUCCACCUGCUACACAUUUCCCCCUUUUUCUCUCAGUUUUAGCUGCAGGUCCUUGCACAGCCACGACAGUCGCCUGCCUCCCCUGCUCGACUUCUUCUUUUGGAAGAUGGAGAGCAGUUGUGCUCUCAGAAAGGUGUCCUUCCAGAGCUGCCAGCUCUGUUCUGCACCCAUGCCCAUAAGGACAGCUUCCUCGGGGAUCUCACUCAGCAGUUCCUUGAGCAGCAGGAAGUUUGCUCUCCUAAAGCACAUGGUCCUAGCUCUGUUUUUUGCCAGGCCCGCAUUCUUCAAGAUCACAAACUCCACCAAGGCAUGGUCACUGCAGCCCAGGCUGCCUCCAAUCUUAACGUCUCUAAUGCUUUUCUCUUCAUUAGUGAGAACCAGGUCCAGUAAGGCUUCACCUCAGAUGGGUCCAUCUAUUACCUGGACCAGGAAGUUGUCCUCGACAGAUUCCAGGAAUCUCCUGGAUUGUCUGCCACCCACCACGCCACUAUCCCAGCAGAUAUCCAGGUGCUUGAAAUCCCCCAUCAGGACAAGAGCCUGCAAGCUCGACACCUCCUGCAGCUGAAGCAAGAAGGCCUCAUCCACAGCCUCCUCCUGAUCAGGUGGCCUGCAGCAGACCCCAGCCACUAGGUGCCCUUUGCUGGACCGAUCCUUGAUUUUUACCCACAAACUCUCCACUUGAUCGUGGCUGUUCCUCAGACACAGCUCUUCACAAUUUAUCCACUUCCUAACAUAGAGGGCAACUCCCCCACCCCUCCUAGCCUGUCUAUCCCUUCUGAAAAGCCUGUAGUCCUCAAUCAGGGUAUUCCAAUUGUGGGAUUCAUCCCACCAUGUUUCUGUGAUAGCAAUUAGGUCACACUUGCCAAAUUGCGCCACGGUUUCUAGCUCCUCCCAUUUAUUUCCCAUGCUGCGCGCAUUGGUAUAGAGGCAGUUCAGCUUGGCUAUUGGCCUCGUUGCCUUAUCAGACGAGACCUCCCUAAUACCUGCAGGACAAGUCUGGGGUUUUCCCUUACCACCUCCCAGGGUGACAGCGUUCCCAUGCGCUUCUCUGUCAUCCAGUACACCCCUUCCCCCAUCAUAUCUAUCGUAAAGCCCUGCUAACCAGCCCAGCCAACUUGUUCCCAAGAAUAUUUGUGGCCCUUCUAGUCAGUCGGCUCCCAUCCACCGUCAGCAUUCCUCCUUUCUCAAGACUGUGUCCCAAGCCAUAGUACCCACAGCCCUGAGCACGACACCAUUCGCUAAGCCGAUCAUUCAGUGUGUCCACCCUCUUCCUUUUGCGUGGGUCCCAGUCACCAACUGAGAGGACAGAGGAAAACACAACUUGUGCUCCCGAUC
Molecule: long non-coding RNA, 1930 nt
Filed under: Gallus gallus (chicken)
Lineage: Eukaryota; Metazoa; Chordata; Aves; Galliformes; Phasianidae
Description: lncRNA (ENSGALG00010003603.1)
Source: RNAcentral